RNAcentral lists this ribosomal RNA (990 nucleotides) under Triticum aestivum (bread wheat). RNAcentral's name for it is "partial small subunit ribosomal RNA". The record is from RNAcentral. Lineage: Eukaryota; Viridiplantae; Streptophyta; Magnoliopsida; Poales; Poaceae.
AUGUCCUCUUCAGGCUAUGUCGCGGUUCCUCGGUGCUCGGUGAUCUUCGAUGGCACCAACUAUGCCGAGUUUGUGGGCUUCAUGCGCAUCCAUAUGCGUGGACUCCUUCUGUGGGGAGUUCUUUCUGGCGAGGUCCCCUGCCCGCCAUGCCCUGUUGCGCCAGUGGUCCCAAUCCCACCGGUGCCGCCAGCCCUUGCUGCUGAUGCUUCUCAGGCUGACCGGGAUGCCGCCAAGGCUCUAGAUGAUGCUGCAGUUGAUGCUUAUGAUCAGCAGGUGUCAGCAUAUUCUGAUGCUCUUUCUGUCUACCGGGAUGCUCUGUCUGCUUACACUCAGUGGUGCAAUGAUGAUGCUCGAGUUGCUGCCGUUCUCACUGCGAGUGUCCUCCCUCAGUUUGCUUCGGAGUUCAUGGGCCUCAGCACUGUUGCAGCAAUGUGGUCCUAUCUUUGUCAGCGCUAUCAGCCCUCUGGUGAUGCCCUCUACCUUUCUGUGGUGCGUCAGGAGCAUGCUCUUCAGCAGGGUGACUCGUCUGUGGAUGAGUUCUACUCGCAGUGCUCUGCCAUCUGGCGUCAGCUUGACUCACUGCGGACAGUUGUUUGUGGCACUUGCCGUUGCUAUCAGACUACGCGGUCUGACUUGGAGUUUCAGAGGGUUCAUGAGUUCUUAUCUCGCCUCCGAUCUGAGUUUGAGCCUCGUCGUGCUCACCUGCUUGCUCGUGGUCGUGUUCCUAUCUCAGAGGUGCUUGCCGAGCUUCGUACCGAGGAGACCCGUCUUCGCUCUGCAGGGUUACUUGUGGUUCCUUCAGUGUUGGCCGCCCGAGCUCCUGUGUCCUCUGCUCGCCUCACCGCUCCACCACUUCUGCCUACUCCUUCAGGGGGGGUGACUCGCUCUCCAUAUGCUGAGAAGAGUACGUCGCGCCGUGACACCUUCUGUGGUUAUUGCUCUCGGUCAGGUCACCCAGAGUCUGACUGUCGCCAGAAGAAGCGAGACUAG